AGGAUGAACGCUGGCGGCGUGCCUAACACAUGCAAGUCGAACGUCCUGUCUCGCAAGAGGCAGGGAGUGGCGGACGGGUGAGUACCACGUGGGUUAUCUACCGUGAGGUGAGGAAUACCGGCGAGAAAUCGCCGACAAGACCGCAUAGCCUCGGUGCAAGCCGAGCAAAGCUCUUUCGAGAGAGGGAGCGCCACACGAGGAGCCUGCGCCCGAUUAGCUAGCUGGUGGAGUAACGGUUCACCAGGGCGACGAUCGGUAGCUGGUCUGAGAGGACGAUCAGCCACACUGGGAUUGAGAACGGCCCAGACUCCUACGGGGGGCAGCAGUGAGGAAUUUUCGUCAAUGGGGGCAACCCUGAACGAGCAACGCCGCGUGCAGGAAGAAGGUUUUCGGAUCGUAAACUGCUUUUCUCGGGGAAGAGAACGGACGGUACCCGAGGAAUCAGCCCCGGCUAACUACGCGCCAGCAGCCGCGGUAA
This 478-nucleotide ribosomal RNA is filed under the name uncultured bacterium. RNAcentral describes it as "SSU rRNA". It matches the Rfam family "Bacterial small subunit ribosomal RNA", at positions 26 to 523 of the family's 1533-position model. The record is from RNAcentral.